Non-coding RNA from Schistosoma mattheei, 46 nucleotides. The record is from Rfam. NCBI's taxonomy places the organism in Eukaryota, Metazoa, Platyhelminthes, Trematoda, Strigeidida, Schistosomatidae.
GCAAUACUGAGGAGUCCCAUACUAGGACGAAACGGCCGUCCAAUGC